Molecule: ribosomal RNA, 507 nt
Filed under: uncultured bacterium
Lineage: Bacteria
Description: bacterial SSU rRNA
Rfam family: Bacterial small subunit ribosomal RNA
Source: RNAcentral
GAUGAACGCUAGCGGCAGGCUUUAACACAUGCAAGUCGAGGGGCAGCGGGAGGAGGUAGCAAUACCACCUUGCCGGCGACCGGCGGAAAGGGUGCGUAACGCGUGAGCAACCUGCCCGUCACUGGGGGAAUAACCGUUGGAAACGACGACUAAUACCCCAUAGUUCUGGAGGGAGGCAUCUCCUUUCAGGUAAAGAGAUUCGGUGACGGAUGGGCUCGCGUGACAUUAGCUAGUUGGUAGGUAACGGCCUACCAAGGCGACGAUGUCUAGGGGUUCUGAGAGGAAGGUCCCCCACACUGGAACUGAGACACGGUCCAGACUCCUACGGGAGGCAGCAGUGAGGAAUAUUGGUCAAUGGGCGGAAGCCUGAACCAGCCAUGCCGCGUGAAGGAAGAAGGUCCUAUGGAUUUUAAACUUCUUUUGUCGGAGAGCAAUAAGGGUCUCGUGAGAUCCGAUGAGAGUAUCCGACGAAUAAGCAUCGGCUAACUCCGUGCCAGCAGCCGCGGU